Long non-coding RNA from Salvelinus sp. IW2-2015, 112 nucleotides. RefSeq lists it as uncharacterized. The record is from RefSeq and is a predicted model, not a curated record. Lineage: Eukaryota; Metazoa; Chordata; Actinopteri; Salmoniformes; Salmonidae.
CUUUCCUGGCUGGAGUCCCAGUCCAACCUGUUCUGCUGCACUACCCCAACAAACUGGAUACUGUGCGCUGGACCCACAGGGGAACUACCUGGGUUGAGGCAUUGUGGCACAC